GAGCAGCUGGGGGCAGCCAGACCCUUCCUUCACCAGGAGGCCAAAUAGGAGCAAGAACAUGUUAAAAUCAAUCUGGGAGCACAAAAGACAGAGACCAGCGCCCACAAAACCACCUGGGUUGGGUUCUGCUCCACUCGGUCUUCAUCCACUGGGAAAGGGCUUCCUGGCAGCUCCCGGUGCCAAUGGGAAUGCUGCUGGGCAGGAGCAGAGCGACGAGAUGUGCUGAGAAACACGAACCAGGGUUGAGCUGCUCCAUUCCCAACCCAAUAGAGACUCACUCAAUAGGACCCUUCUCUCCCAGCAGCGAGAGCUGCUGAAGCCCCAAACACUGCCCCAAUGCUGGAACAACUCAAAACCUCUCCAAAACGAGGAUUAACACGGUGGGAUCUGUGUUAAGGACAAGGCACAAGCGGUUAAUGGCCAAACAGGCCCACGAACAGCCUUAGGAGAUCAACCCUCUGGUGUCACAGCAAAGAAACCAGCCGGAGCUGCUGGACCCUGGCUCCAACCAAACCCCACUCGUCUGGAAACGAAGCAGCUGCAUCACAGGCCAUGGAGGGUCAGCAAACAUCGGGAUCAAGCCUUGAACUUCCUCCCAUCCCCUCUUCCCGAGCUGGGAUGAACAUGGAAAAGGCCAGCACCAGCAGCACCAACAAACACCAUUUCCUCCCUCCAACACCCCGGAUCCGAGGCCACGCAGCACCGUGGGUGCAGCAGUUGGCUCUGAGGGGAUACAGAGUGAUUUGAGGCUUUAAUUAGCAUUAACUUUAAUCAAGCCUUUAUCCCAAUCCUGCUCCAGACGCGCUCUCCGGGUGGCUGACAGCGAGAGCUCAAAUGGCUUUAAUCUAUACUCAAAACCUUGGGAACAGGUUGGAAAAGCUGGAAAAUUCACUUGGAAUUGCAUUCAUGGGGAGCCUGCUCCCUCCUCACCCAGCUGCCUCCCUGUGCUGCUUUCAGCCCUGUCCCUGCUCCUCUUAGAAUCACAGAAUGGGCUGGGAAGGACCUUAACAUCAUCCAGUUCCAACCUCAUCCUCCAGGGAGCAGCUCAUGUCCCUGUGUUCCAGCUCGUGAUGCACCCGAGCAUCAGUGUGAGCCGUUGUUAUAUUCAGCUACAAGAGGAUCCCAAAUACCUUCUAAAAGCCAUGUUCGACCUUAGCACACGCUCAGGGAUGGGAAAGUGGUUAAAAGCAGGGAAACAGAAUGGAUCCCUUCAGGAAUCGCUGCAAAUCCAGGCCCAGGAAGGCUGCAAAGCCCAGCUCAGGCACUGCCGGGAGGAGGAGGAGCAGCACCGCGGAUGAAGAGGCUGUUCCCAGGUCUGGGUGUUGGCAGCAGCUUUCCCCACUGCCGCAGGUAGCACAGGGAGAAGCAGCCAACACGAUCCCGGUUCAUCCUCCUCGCAGGGCUGGCUCAUGCCCAGCGUGGGAAGAGGAGCUGCUGCAUCACCCUGAGCCCUCUCGCUGUGUGUGUUUGCUGAGGGUUUGGGUGCUGGCAGCAGAAGUGAUGCUGUGCAGUGAGCAGACAGCGCCGGUGCUGCAGCAGCUCUGCGGAUGCUGCUCUAGGAGGAUGCUGCGGCUCUGCAGAAUCAGGGUUGAUCCUCCCAGUGGGGCGAAGACAGCAGCAAACCCCAGCA
Strigops habroptila (Kakapo) is the source of this 1630-nucleotide long non-coding RNA. Lineage: Eukaryota; Metazoa; Chordata; Aves; Psittaciformes; Psittacidae. The record is from Ensembl.